RNAcentral lists this transfer RNA (88 nucleotides) under Candidatus Omnitrophota bacterium. Its description in RNAcentral is "tRNA-Ser". It matches the Rfam family "tRNA". From Rfam's summary of the family: Transfer RNA (tRNA) molecules are approximately 80 nucleotides in length. Their secondary structure includes four short double-helical elements and three loops (D, anti-codon, and T loops). Lineage: Bacteria; Pseudomonadati; Candidatus Omnitrophota. The record is from RNAcentral.
GGAGAGGUGGCUGAGCGGUUGAAAGCGGCGGUCUUGAAAACCGUUGUGCCGAAAGGUACCCAGAGUUCGAAUCUCUGCCUCUCCGCCA